This 211-nucleotide unclassified non-coding RNA is filed under the name Hevea brasiliensis (rubber tree). Lineage: Eukaryota; Viridiplantae; Streptophyta; Magnoliopsida; Malpighiales; Euphorbiaceae. The record is from RNAcentral.
GGUUAACUAAAAAGUUGAAAACAUUUCGGUUAAUUUCUGUUAUCAACUAAUUAAUUGAAAAUAAUUUUUGGCCAUUUAAUUAAUUAAAUAAAUAAUAAAAAUAAAUUUUUCCAAAAAAUUAUCUCUCGAUUUGCCAAAGCCAAAGACAAAGCCGAAGCGAGCGAGCGACGACGACGACGGCGCGAGGGGGGUCCCUCUUUCCAACCCUUUU